GACAGAGGCCUCGAGCGUUAGGCGGAAUCACUGGGCUUAAAGCGUGUGUAGGCGGAUCGUUAAGUACCUUGUGAAAUCCCACGGCUCAACCGUGGAACGGCUGGGUAUACUGGCGGUCUUGGGCCAUUCAGGGGCGACUGGAACAAGCGGUGGAGCGGUGAAAUGCGUAGAUAUCGCUUGGAACGCCGAAGGUGAAAACAGGUCGCUGGGGAUGUGCCGACGCUGAGACACGAAAGCCAGGGGGAGCAAACAGG
This 254-nucleotide ribosomal RNA is filed under the name uncultured bacterium. RNAcentral's name for it is "partial 16S ribosomal RNA". It matches the Rfam family "Bacterial small subunit ribosomal RNA", at positions 524 to 776 of the family's 1533-position model. The record is from RNAcentral.